Molecule: ribosomal RNA, 877 nt
Filed under: uncultured eukaryote
Lineage: Eukaryota
Description: SSU rRNA
Rfam family: Eukaryotic small subunit ribosomal RNA
Source: RNAcentral
CGGUGUUCAACUGGCGUGUCCGCGGGACGUCCUGCCGGUGGGCUUAGCCCGCAAGGGCGGCCCAACUUCAAAUCCCAUCGCGGUGCUCUUCACUGAGUGUCGAGGUGGGCCGGUACGUUUACUUUGAACAAAUUAGAGUGCUUAAAGCAGGCUAAAACUUCGCCUGAAUACUGUGUGCAUGGAAUAAUGGAAUAGGACCUCGGUUCUAUUUUGUUGGUUUUCGGAACCCCGAGGUAAUGAUUAAUAGGAACGGAUGGGGGCAUUCGUAUUGCGACGUUAGAGGUGAAAUUCUUGGAUCGUCGCAAGACGGACAGAAGCGAAAGCAUUUGCCAAAAACGCUUUCAUUGAUCAAGAACGAAAGUUAGAGGUUCGAAGGCGAUCAGAUACCGCCCUAGUUCUAACCAUAAACGAUGCCAGCUAGCGAUCCGUCGACGUUCCUCCGAUGACUCGACGGGCAGCUUCCGGGAAACCAAAGCUUUUGGGUUCCGGGGGAAGUAUGGUUGCAAAGCUGAAACUUAAAGGAAUUGACGGAAGGGCACCACCAGGAGUGGAGCCUGCGGCUUAAUUUGACUCAACACGGGAAACCUCACCAGGCCCGGACACCGGAAGGAUUGACAGAUUGAGAGCUCUUUCUUGAUUCGGUGGGUGGUGGUGCAUGGCCGUUCUUAGUUGGUGGAGCGAUUUGUCUGGUUAAUUCCGAUAACGAACGAGACUCUAGCCUGCUAACUAGGCGUAUUUUCGACAUCUCAAAGGUCCGUCGUCCCGGCCCUCGGGUCGUGGGCGUGCGCGAUUUUUACUGUCGGCGUACUAUCAAUUCUUCUUAGAGGGACAGGUGGCUUCUAGCCGCACGAGAUUGAGCAAUAACAGGUCUGUGAUG